RNAcentral lists this transfer RNA (72 nucleotides) under Parcubacteria bacterium DG_74_1. Its description in RNAcentral is "tRNA-Ala". It matches the Rfam family "tRNA". Rfam says of the family: Transfer RNA (tRNA) molecules are approximately 80 nucleotides in length. Their secondary structure includes four short double-helical elements and three loops (D, anti-codon, and T loops). The record is from RNAcentral. RNAcentral also lists the same sequence under 1 other name. Lineage: Bacteria; Candidatus Parcubacteria.
GGGCCUGUAGUUUAGAGGGAGAACACCGCGUUCGCAUCGCGGAGAUCGUGGGUUCGAAUCCCACCGGGUCCA